Molecule: long non-coding RNA, 756 nt
Organism: Tripterygium wilfordii
Lineage: Eukaryota; Viridiplantae; Streptophyta; Magnoliopsida; Celastrales; Celastraceae
Exons: 2
Source: RefSeq, a predicted model, not a curated record
UUCUUUCUUGUCACUUUCUCUAUUGCCGAUUUCAAUACAUGAUCUAAGCAAGAAAUUACAGAUUUUAUACUUUCUUGUUAGCCGCUAAGAGAAGGUUUCUAAGGGCUGGUUGUGUUCUAUUUUCGUGGUCCAUAAGAGAAGAAAAGUUCAUCUCAAAUCAAGAGCAAAAGGUGCAAGAUUGUCAAGAACACCUUUCUUCAAUCUUGACCGGUUUCAAGAGCGAUUCAAGAAAUUAUUUGUGGAUCUUUCUUUUUGUUUUCCAACACAUUCUUGCUAACACAAAAGAAGUGCUUGUGGCUGUCAUCUAUUCCAAAAGAUUGUCCUUGAUCGGUUUUGGAAGUUUCAAGAUUCGACGUGCGUGUGUGGACCAAUUAGAGGCCGGGCGCGUUCUAAUCUCUGAAAAAUCCAGUUCGUUGAGUUCGUGAGCAAGGAACGCAAGAGUUUUGUCAUAUUUCUCAUGAAUUUGACCGUUGUCAGACUUAUUGGUCUAAAGUCUUGAUUUCCCCUACUGUUAAGGUGUUAUUUGUAGGUAUUUAAACCAUGUCUUUUGGGUUGAUUGCUAUUGUUUCUCUUCCUUUUGAAGUUAUGCGGAUUUGUCUUAUUUUUGUUUAUGUUGAGCUACUUGUUCUGCCUAUGGGUCACCCCAUCUUUAUUUCUUCUCCAUAGAGUUCUGUUAUAGUUAUCGCGAAUCAAACUAAGCUAUUAUAAAAUAACUGCCCUAUAAAUAUUUUAUGUUAAAUUACUUAUUAAGCACUA